UACGAGGGGGGCGAGCGUUGUUCGGAAUUAUUGGGCGUAAAGGGUGCGUAGGCGGUUUGGUAAGCCUUGUGUGAAAUCUCAGAGCUCAACUCUGAAACUGCACUCGAUACUGCUUUGCUUGAGGACUGGAGAGGAGAUUGGAAUUCACGGUGUAGCAGUGAAAUGCGUAGAUAUCGUGAGGAAGACCAGUGGCGAAGGCGGAUCUCUGGACAGUUCCUGACGCUGAGGCGCGAAGUCCAGGGGAGCAAAC
This 250-nucleotide ribosomal RNA is filed under the name uncultured bacterium. Its description in RNAcentral is "partial 16S ribosomal RNA". It matches the Rfam family "Bacterial small subunit ribosomal RNA", at positions 524 to 773 of the family's 1533-position model. The record is from RNAcentral.